GAUGAACGCUGGCGGCAUGCCUAAGACAUGCAAGUCGAACGAGAUGGCCCAGUGAAGGUGGAGUGCUUGCACAAACUGAAUCUGGAUUACCAUCUAGUGGCAGACGGGUGAGUAACACGUGGGUGACCUGCCUUUUCGUUGGGGAUAACAGUUGGAAACGAUUGCUAAUACCGAAUAAGAUAUAAGAGUCAAUCUUAUAUUGAAAGAAGCCUUUAAAGCUUCGCGAUUAGAUGGGCCUGCGGCGUAUUAACUAGUUGGUGAGGUAAUGGCUCACCAAGGUAACCGAUGCGUAGCCGAACUGAGAGGUUGAUCGGCCACACUGGGACUGAGACACGGCCCAGACUCCUACGGGAGACCAGCAGUUAGGAAUAUUCGUCAAUGGGGGAAACCCUGAACGAGCAAUGCCGCGUGAGUGAUGAAGGUCUUAUAGAUUGUAAAACUCUGUUGUAUGGAAAUGAUAUCAAGCUGACGGUACCUUAU
This 480-nucleotide ribosomal RNA is filed under the name uncultured bacterium. Its description in RNAcentral is "bacterial SSU rRNA". It matches the Rfam family "Bacterial small subunit ribosomal RNA", at positions 28 to 483 of the family's 1533-position model. The record is from RNAcentral.